GAAAUGCGAUAAGUAAUGUGAAUUGCAGAAUUCAGUGAAUCAUCGAAUCUUUGAACGCACCUUGCGCUCCUUGGUAUUCCGAGGAGCAUGCCUGUUUGAGUGUCAUUAAAUUCUCAAUUUCUACAGCCUUUGUGUUGCUAGCAAAUUGGAUGUGGGGGGCUUAAAUGUGGGUCUUUCAGUAGCCCCACUCCCCUGAAAUGAAUUAGCUGGAAUGCCUUUGCGAAUCCAACUAUCAGUGUGAUAAUUAUCUAUGCUGGAGUUGUUGCAUGAGGGAAUCCGCUUCUCAAUAGUCGCAAGACAAUAUGAAUCAUUUUGACCUCAAAUCAGGUAGGACUACCCGCUGAACUUAA
RNAcentral lists this unclassified non-coding RNA (350 nucleotides) under uncultured Conocybe. Its description in RNAcentral is "sequence contains ITS1". The stretch from base 1 to 105 matches the Rfam family "5.8S ribosomal RNA", at positions 50 to 154 of the family's 154-position model. Lineage: Eukaryota; Fungi; Basidiomycota; Agaricomycetes; Agaricales; Bolbitiaceae. The record is from RNAcentral.